CGGGGGGACCACCCCCCAAGCCUAAAUACUCCCUAGUGACCGAUAGUGAAGCAGUACUGUGAAGGAAAGGUGAAAAGGACCCCGGGAGGGGAGUGAAAGAGAACCUGAAACCUUGUGCUUACAAACAGUCAAAGGACGCAAGUCUGAUGGCGUACUUUUUGUAGAACGGUCCGGCGAGUUACUAAUGCCAGCGAGGUUAAGAUGUCAGAAGCAUCGGAGCCGAAGGGAAACCAAGUCUGAAUAGGGCGUAGAGUUGGUAUUAGUAGACCCGAAACCGGGUGACCUAUCCAUGUCCAGGUUGAAGGAACCGUAAAAGGUUUUGGAGGACCGAACACACAUGUGUUGAAAAACGUGGUGAUGAGGUGUGGAUAGCGGAGAAAUUCCAAUCGAACUCGGAGAUAGCUGGUUCUCCUCGAAAUAGCUUUAGGGCUAGCCUCGAGCUGGAGUCUAACGGAGGUAAAGCACUGAACUGACGCGGGGCCCAAAAAGGUUACCAACUCAUAUCAAACUAAGAAUGCCGUCAAGAUACCCUCGGGAGUCAGACUACGGGAGAUAAGUUUCGUGGUCAAAAGGGAAAGAGCCCAGACCGACAGCUAAGGUCCCAAAGUGUGUGUUAAGUGGAAAAGGAUGUUAGGUUUCUAAGACAACUAGGAUGUUGGCUCAGAAGCAGCCACUCAUUUAAAGAGUGCGUAACAGCUCACUAGUCGAGAGGUCUAGCGCCGAAAAUGUCCGGGGCUAAAACACACCACCGAAGCUACGGAAUUACCUAUGGUAAUUGGUAGAGGAGCAUUCUGUAAGGACGAAGCGUAAUUGAAAGAGAGCGUGGACGAAACAGAAGAGAGAAUGCCGGAAUGAGUAGCGAGAUAUAUGUAAGAAACAUAUAGGCCGAAUAUCUAAGGUUUCCUGAGUAAAGCUGAUCUUCUCAGGGUAAGUCGGGACCUAAGGCGAGGACGAGAGUCGUAGUCGAUGGACAACUGGUAGAGAUUCCAGUACUAUGUAUAAUCAGAACUGUGGGGACGCAGGAGGAUAGGAAAACCGGAGAAUGGAAAUAUCCGGCUAAGUACAAAGGUGUGAGUGAUAGGCAAAUCCGUCACUAUUAGCUGAAGUACGAAUGGGAGCGAAGAAAAGUAGCGAAGUUUCUGAAUCCACACUGUCAAGAAAAGCCGCUAUUGCGUUAUACGUACCCGUACCGCAAACCGACACAGGUAGACGAGGAGAAAAUCCACAGACCGACGGGAGAAGUGUUGUUAAGGAACUCGGCAAAAUGACCCCGUAACUUAGGGAUAAGGGGAGCCAACGCAAGUUGGUCACAGAAAAGAGGCUCAAGCGACUGUUUAGCAAAAACAUAGGUCUAUGCGAAACCGUAAGGUGAUGUAUAUGGGCUGACACCUGCCCGGUGCUGGAAGGUCAAAAGGAGAGGUUAGCGUAAGCGAAGCUUUGAAUUCAAGCCCCAGUAAACGGCGGCCGUAACUAUAACGGUCCUAAGGUAGCGAAAUUCCUUGUCAGGUAAGUUCUGACCCGC
RNAcentral lists this ribosomal RNA (1522 nucleotides) under human gut metagenome. RNAcentral's name for it is "bacterial LSU rRNA". It matches the Rfam family "Bacterial large subunit ribosomal RNA", at positions 445 to 1991 of the family's 2925-position model. The record is from RNAcentral.